RNAcentral lists this ribosomal RNA (274 nucleotides) under uncultured Erysipelothrix sp. RNAcentral's name for it is "partial 16S ribosomal RNA". It matches the Rfam family "Bacterial small subunit ribosomal RNA", at positions 1107 to 1382 of the family's 1533-position model. The record is from RNAcentral. Lineage: Bacteria; Bacillati; Bacillota; Erysipelotrichia; Erysipelotrichales; Erysipelotrichaceae.
GUCUUUAGUUACCAUCAUUCAGUUGGGGACUCUAGAGAGACUGCCGGUGAUAAACCGGAGGAAGGUGGGGAUGACGUCAAAUCAUCAUGCCCCUUAUGGCCUGGGCUACAAACGUAAUACAAUGGCGUAUACAAAGGGAUGCGAAAGGGCGACCUGGAGCAAAACUCACAAAGUACGUCUCAGUUCAGAUUGGAGUCUGCAACUCGACUCCAUGAGGGCGGAAUCGCUAGUAAUCGCGGAUCAGCAUGCCGCGGUGAAUACGUUCUCGGGGUUU